RNAcentral lists this unclassified non-coding RNA (537 nucleotides) under Hevea brasiliensis (rubber tree). The record is from RNAcentral. Lineage: Eukaryota; Viridiplantae; Streptophyta; Magnoliopsida; Malpighiales; Euphorbiaceae.
GGAUUGUGGGGAAUUGCUACUAGUGUUGCGUUCUCAAUGGAAGUGGCUAAUAUAAUAUGUUUAUUUCUUGUUAUUUCACAUCUCCAUGCUUUCAUCGGCGGAGAAAAUGUGAAACUCAUUGACCAAGGAGAACUGAAGUUUAUGGAAGCAUGGCAAUUGUUGCGGAUCAACUACGACAAAUCUUCACCUUGGAUGGCAGUUUCUUUGGCAAUUUGCAUAUAGUUACUCCAUGAGCAUAAGACUUUGGGCAAUACCUUCAUUAUUGGCCUUGGAUAUUUGGCAGCCGAGUGUAUGGGCCAACAAUUUUCCGGAUUUCUAAUCAAAUGGAAGGAGAAAUCUAGGAAGAGAGCCACUUAGAUGGAUUCAGUAAAUAUUCGGCACCAAUUUCAGGUCAGCAGUUAUAGUAGGGGGUUUCAUAUAUUGCUGCUCUUUCGUCAUAUGUCCUGCACACUUACAUAUUUGCUGUUGAAGGGAUGCAUCUAAUUGACAAGGUAUUUGGACCUUCUAAGUGGUUAGUUGAAAAUUUUAUUGAAGAAG